GUAACACGUGAGCAACCUGCCCCUGACUCUGGGAUAAGCGCUGGAAACGGCGUCUAAUACUGGAUAUGUGACGUGAUCGCAUGGUCUGCGUCUGGAAAGAUUUUUCGGUUGGGGAUGGGCUCGCGGCCUAUCAGCUUGUUGGUGAGGUAAUGGCUCACCAAGGCGUCGACGGGUAGCCGGCCUGAGAGGGUGACCGGCCACACUGGGACUGAGACACGGCCCAGACUCCUACGGGAGGCAGCAGUGGGGAAUAUUGCACAAUGGGCGCAAGCCUGAUGCAGCAACGCCGCGUGAGGGAUGACGGCCUUCGGGUUGUAAACCUCUUUUAGCAGGGAAGAAGCGAAAGUGACGGUACCUGCAGAAAAAGCGCCGGCUAACUACGUGCCAGCAGCCGCGGUAAUACGUAGGGCGCAAGCGUUAUCCGGAAUUAUUGGGCGUAAAGAGCUCGUAGGCGGUUUGUCGCGUCUGCUGUGAAAUCCCGAGGCUCAACCUCGGGCCUGCAGUGGGUACGGGCAGACUAGAGUGCGGUAGGGGAGAUUGGAAUUCCUGGUGUAGCGGUGGAAUGCGCAGAUAUCAGGAGGAACACCGAUGGCGAAGGCAGAUCUCUGGGCCGUAACUGACGCUGAGGAGCGAAAGGGUGGGGAGCAAACAGGCUUAGAUACCCUGGUAGUCCACCCCGUAAACGUUGGGAACUAGUUGUGGGGUCCAUUCCACGGAUUCCGUGACGCAGCUAACGCAUUAAGUUCCCCGCCUGGGGAGUACGGCCGCAAGGCUAAAACUCAAAGGAAUUGACGGGGACCCGCACAAGCGGCGGAGCAUGCGGAUUAAUUCGAUGCAACGCGAAGAACCUUACCAAGGCUUGACAUAUACGAGAACGGGCCAGAAAUGGUCAACUCUUUGGACACUCGUAAACAGGUGGUGCAUGGUUGUCGUCAGCUCGUGUCGUGAGAUGUUGGGUUAAGUCCCGCAACGAGCGCAACCCUCGUUCUAUGUUGCCAGCACGUAAUGGUGGGAACUCAUGGGAUACUGCCGGGGUCAACUCGGAGGAAGGUGGGGAUGACGUCAAAUCAUCAUGCCCCUUAUGUCUUGGGCUUCACGCAUGCUACAAUGGCCGGUACAAAGGGCUGCAAUACCGUGAGGUGGAGCGAAUCCCAAAAAGCCGGUCCCAGUUCGGAUUGAGGUCUGCAACUCGACCUCAUGAAGUCGGAGUCGCUAGUAAUCGCAGAUCAGCAACGCUGCGGUGAAUACGUUCCCGGGUCUUGUACACACCGCC
Molecule: ribosomal RNA, 1273 nt
Filed under: bacterium
Lineage: Bacteria
Description: bacterial SSU rRNA
Rfam family: Bacterial small subunit ribosomal RNA
Source: RNAcentral